This 456-nucleotide ribosomal RNA is filed under the name Andrewia bochkovi. Its description in RNAcentral is "partial large subunit ribosomal RNA". It matches the Rfam family "Bacterial large subunit ribosomal RNA", at positions 1857 to 2571 of the family's 2925-position model. Lineage: Eukaryota; Metazoa; Arthropoda; Insecta; Hemiptera; Miridae. The record is from RNAcentral.
GCCUGCCCAAUGAUUAUUUUAAUGGCUGCAGUAUUUUGACUGUACAAAGGUAGCAUAAUCACUUGUCUCUUGAUUGGAGUCUGGAAUGAAUGGUUUGAUGAAAAAUUUACUUUCUUUAUUUUUGAUUGGGAAUUUGAUUUUUGGGUUAAAAAGCCUAAAUGAUAAUAUAGGACGAGAAGACCCUAUAGAGCUUGACUUUUUUUGAUGUGUUUUUUCUGAUUGUAUAUGUAUUGAUUUAUAUAUUGAUUAAAGUUUUGUUGGGGUGAUAGAAAAAAUUUCGUAACUUUUUUUGUUUUAAGCAUUUGUUUAUGUUUUGUUUGAUCCUGUUUUAUGGAAAAAAGGCGAAGCUACCUUAGGGAUAACAGCGUUAUUGUUUUUGAGAGUUCAUAUCGAUAAAAUAGUUUGCGACCUCGAUGUUGGAUUAAAAUAAAUACCAGGGGUAGAAUAUUGGUAUAU